RNAcentral lists this ribosomal RNA (501 nucleotides) under uncultured bacterium. Its description in RNAcentral is "partial 16S ribosomal RNA". It matches the Rfam family "Bacterial small subunit ribosomal RNA", at positions 30 to 523 of the family's 1533-position model. The record is from RNAcentral.
AUUGAACGCUGGCGGCAGGCUUAACACAUGCAAGUCGAGCGGGGGAAGGUAGCUUGCUACUGGACCUAGCGGCGGACGGGUGAGUAAUGCUUAGGAAUCUGCCUAUUAGUGGGGGACAACAUCUCGAAAGGGAUGCUAAUACCGCAUACGUCCUACGGGAGAAAGCAGGGGAUCUUCGGACCUUGCGCUAAUAGAUGAGCCUAAGUCGGAUUAGCUAGUUGGUGGGGUAAAGGCCUACCAAGGCGACGAUCUGUAGCGGGUCUGAGAGGAUGAUCCGCAACACUGGGACUGAGACACGGCCCAGACUCCUACGGGAGGCAGCAGUGGGGAAUAUUGGACAAUGGGGGGAACCCUGAUCCAGCCAUGCCGCGUGUGUGAAGAAGGCCUUAUGGUUGUAAAGCACUUUAAGCGAGGAGGAGGCUACUUUAGUUAAUACCUAGAGAUAGUGGACGUUACUCGCAGAAUAAGCACCGGCUAACUCUGUGCCAGCAGCCGCAGUAA